This 94-nucleotide transfer RNA is filed under the name Streptomyces sp. 6-11-2. RNAcentral describes it as "tRNA-Pro". Lineage: Bacteria; Bacillati; Actinomycetota; Actinomycetes; Kitasatosporales; Streptomycetaceae. The record is from RNAcentral.
GGGACGCUCCGUGGGGUGGGCGGGCGGCGGUCCGGGCCCGGCGCGGGCAUCAGCGGGUUCGGGGGUCCGGCCGUUCCCCGUCGGCCGUGCCCUC